Molecule: non-coding RNA, 74 nt
Organism: Potamilus streckersoni
Lineage: Eukaryota; Metazoa; Mollusca; Bivalvia; Unionida; Unionidae
Source: the annotation of a GenBank genome assembly
UACUCAGGUGGCCUAGUGGUUAAAACGUCCGUCUCGGGUGCUGGAGGUCGUGGGUUCGAUCCCCGGCCGAGUCA